GACAACUCUCAGCAACGGAUAUCUCGGCUCUUGCAUCGAUGAAGAACGCAGCGAAAUGCGAUAAAUGGUGUGAAUUGCAGAAUCCCGUGAACCAUCGAGUCUUUGAACGCAAGUUGCGCCCGAGGCCAUCAGGCCAAGGGCACGCCUGCUUGGGCAUUGCGA
This 162-nucleotide ribosomal RNA is filed under the name Paphiopedilum dianthum. RNAcentral describes it as "5.8S ribosomal RNA subunit". It matches the Rfam family "5.8S ribosomal RNA". Rfam says of the family: 5.8S ribosomal RNA (5.8S rRNA) is a component of the large subunit of the eukaryotic ribosome. It is transcribed by RNA polymerase I as part of the 45S precursor that also contains 18S and 28S rRNA. The record is from RNAcentral. Lineage: Eukaryota; Viridiplantae; Streptophyta; Magnoliopsida; Asparagales; Orchidaceae.